RNAcentral lists this ribosomal RNA (463 nucleotides) under uncultured bacterium. RNAcentral's name for it is "bacterial SSU rRNA". It matches the Rfam family "Bacterial small subunit ribosomal RNA", at positions 8 to 507 of the family's 1533-position model. The record is from RNAcentral.
AGAGUUUGAUCAUGGCUCAGAGUGAACGUUGGCGGCGUGGAUUAGGCAUGCAAGUCGAGCGAUCGUAGCAAUACGGGAGCGGCAAACGGGGUAGGAAUACAUCGGAACGUACCUUUUGGUUGAGAAUAGCGUUGGGAAACUGACGGUAAUACUCAAUAAAGUCGAGAGACCAAAGGUUUACUGCCGGAAGAGCGGCCGAUGCGAUAUUAGGUAGUUGGUAGGGUAAUGGCCUACCAAGCCUGAGAUGUCUAGGGGGUGUGAGAGCAUGGCCCCCACCACUGGGACUGAGAUACUGCCCAGACACCUACGGGUGGCUGCAGUCGAGGAUCUUCGUCAAUGGGCGAAAGCCUGAACGAGCGACGCCGCGUGCGGGAUGAAGGCCCUUGGGUUAGUAAACCGCUGUCAGGGGGGAUGAAACCGUAAGGUUGACAGAGCCCCAGAGGAAGCACGGGCUAAGUUCGUG